ACAAGAACCUGGACAGGAACAAAACCAUUGGACCCCCUUGAUUCAAUCAUUGGGUGAAGAAGCACAUAUUGAGUCACUCCCUCAUGAAGGACCCUGAGCUCAUAUAGAGACCCCCACAACUGACCCAAACUCUCUACUUUUAAGUACUCAAGGUGUCUAUCAAUCUAUAAUCAUUUUUCUUUUUUUCUCAGUUCCAGGUCCAUCCACAAGAGUAGCACCUAAGCCUACCCUGGAACCCACAGGGCCUGGAGGACGCUCCAAAGCUUCUUUGCCGACCACAUCUCCGCCAGCCACAUCCCCAGGUCCAUCAAUUUUCUCAAGCACCACAGGUUAUAACGAAUACCACAAUGCCAAUGUUCCUUCCACUUUCGUCAACUCUGGGGUCUUUAGAAAGGAAUUCUCGGGGCGGGGCCAAGAGUGAAAGCAGUGCAUUGCUUGAGCUCUCCCCCAAACCCUUCCAAAUACCUGUAAAAAAAUGGCUCAAAAAAAAUUCUACAGCAGCAGAAC
This is a long non-coding RNA of Vombatus ursinus (common wombat), 507 nucleotides long. RefSeq lists it as uncharacterized. The transcript is spliced from 3 exons. The record is from RefSeq and is a predicted model, not a curated record. Lineage: Eukaryota; Metazoa; Chordata; Mammalia; Diprotodontia; Vombatidae.